CGGGGGGCGAUAAAUAAAACCAAUAAGGAUACCCUUAGAUUUUGGAAAUAAAAUUUCUAUCCAGAUACAUUCGAUCCCA
Pocillopora verrucosa is the source of this 79-nucleotide small nucleolar RNA. RefSeq annotates it as small nucleolar RNA R12. Lineage: Eukaryota; Metazoa; Cnidaria; Anthozoa; Scleractinia; Pocilloporidae. The record is from RefSeq and is a predicted model, not a curated record.